AAACAGAUGAAAGGAGGUGCUCUAGUGUCUAUUGGGAUUACGGAGAGAGGUGUCGGAACAGUCUGGAAGGGAAAAUCCUGAGGCAGCCCUUGGGGUUCAACUGACCAGAUUGGUGGCAGCCUAACCGGCCCCACCUCCUAAACUCGAGGGAGCCAUCCGAACCGAUCGGAUGGCUC
Molecule: unclassified non-coding RNA, 176 nt
Filed under: Pseudooceanicola nitratireducens
Lineage: Bacteria; Pseudomonadati; Pseudomonadota; Alphaproteobacteria; Rhodobacterales; Paracoccaceae
Description: caulobacter sRNA CC2171
Source: RNAcentral